GAUGAAGAACGUAGCGAAAUGCGAUACGUAAUGUGAAUUGCAGAAUUCAGUGAAUCAUCGAAUCUUUGAACGCAUAUUGCGCUCUCUGGUAUUCCGGAGAGCAUGCUUGUUUGAGUAUCAGUAAACACCUCAACUUCCAUAUCUUUUUUGAAAUGGGAGUUGACUUGAGUGAUCCCAACGCUUUUCCUCACCGAAAAGUGGCGGGUUACUUGAAAUGCAGGUGCAGCUGGACUUUUCUCUGAGCUAUAAGCAUAUCUAUUUAGUCUGCCUAAAAAACAGAUUAUUACCUUUGCUGCAGCUAACAUAAAGGAGAUUAGUUCUUGUGCUGACUGAUGCAGGAUUCACAAAGACGGCUUCGGCCGACUUUGUAAACUCGAUCUCAAAUCAAGUAAGACUACCCGCUGAACUUAAGCAUAUCAAUAAGCGGAGGA
This 431-nucleotide unclassified non-coding RNA is filed under the name soil metagenome. RNAcentral describes it as "partial contains 5.8S ribosomal RNA, internal transcribed spacer 2, and large subunit ribosomal RNA". The stretch from base 1 to 120 matches the Rfam family "5.8S ribosomal RNA", at positions 35 to 154 of the family's 154-position model. The record is from RNAcentral.